GGGUCCCCCCGGUCAGCCUGGAUAUCCCGGGACCAUGGGUCCUCCUGGGCUACCUGGCGCUAAAGGAGAAAGAGGAUAUGCGGGGCCAGCUGGAGAGAAAGGAGAAUCAGGUCCUCCAGGUUUGGAUGGUCCUGCAGGUCCAAUGGGGCCGGCGGGUCCAAGGGGAGAGCGAGGCACUCCAGGUUCUGCGGGAGAAAAAGGCGACCAGG
This is a long non-coding RNA of Sceloporus undulatus (fence lizard), 209 nucleotides long. RefSeq lists it as uncharacterized. The transcript has 4 exons. The record is from RefSeq and is a predicted model, not a curated record. NCBI's taxonomy places the organism in Eukaryota, Metazoa, Chordata, Lepidosauria, Squamata, Phrynosomatidae.